GAUUGCAUCAGUAAGGGAGUUAUUAAGAGAAAAGAUUGCCAUUUUUUAUAUGAAUAUUUAGGUUCUUGGGUAUUUCAAGGCUCAGGUGGGAGGCAAUCAUUUAAUUAAAUUAAUUUUUAACUAAGGUGGUGACACUGAGGGCUUGUGGAACUGUUGCGCUAAAUCAGAACUUAUAUCAUUUAACAGAUUUUCUUGCAUGAUUCAUUAGAAUACAAGAAUGUGUUCAAAUGAAACAUCAUUUUAAUUUUAUCACUCAUGUGUUGGGGUGCAAGAACUGAGAUGAAUUUCCUCAUAGUUUCUUUUUCAAAAAGCCUUUAUUUAAAGCUCUAAAUAUCAGUAAUAUUCAUAUAAUGCUAUAUCUCCUAAGUUGUCUUUUCCAUAUUGGAUUAUUACAAAUAGCAAUAUUAUAAUAUGUAUACAUUUGAAAAUAUGUUAUUUACCAGUUAAAAUUCCAAUUGUGACUGUUUCUUCUUUAAUGAUAAAGUCUUCAAUUUUUUAUAAGUUAAAAAUCUAUUUUAUUUGUUUUUAGGGAAUCCCAGGAUUUCCUGGAAACCGAGGAUUAAUGGGCCAAAAGGGAGAAAUUGGGCCUCCAGGACAG
Molecule: long non-coding RNA, 598 nt
Filed under: Homo sapiens (human)
Lineage: Eukaryota; Metazoa; Chordata; Mammalia; Primates; Hominidae
Description: long non-coding RNA NONHSAT209235
Source: RNAcentral